Molecule: non-coding RNA, 93 nt
Organism: Marasmius sp. AFHP31
Lineage: Eukaryota; Fungi; Basidiomycota; Agaricomycetes; Agaricales; Marasmiaceae
Source: the annotation of a GenBank genome assembly
UCCGUUAUGGUGUAGUGGCUAACAUUAUCGCCUCUCAUAAGACUUGUAAUUUCGCGAGCGCGAUAGCCCAGGGUUCGAUUCCCUGUAACGGAA